RNAcentral lists this ribosomal RNA (916 nucleotides) under uncultured Bacillota bacterium. RNAcentral describes it as "bacterial SSU rRNA". It matches the Rfam family "Bacterial small subunit ribosomal RNA", at positions 1 to 915 of the family's 1533-position model. The record is from RNAcentral. Lineage: Bacteria; Bacillati; Bacillota.
GGAUCCAGACUUUGAUCCUGGCUCAGGACGAACGCUGGCGGCGUGCCUAACACAUGCAAGUCGAACGGAACUUUUUUAAAAGACUUCUUCGGAAUGAAUUUGAUUAAGUUUAGUGGCGGACGGGUGAGUAACGCGUGAGUAACCUGCCUCUAAGAGGGGAAUAACAUUCUGAAAAGAAUGCUAAUACCGCAUAACAUAUAUUUAUCGCAUGGUAGAUAUAUCAAAGAUUUAUCGCUUAGAGAUGGACUCGCGUCCGAUUAGUUAGUUGGUGAGGUAAUGGCUCACCAAGACCGCGAUCGGUAGCCGGACUGAGAGGUUGAACGGCCACAUUGGGACUGAGACACGGCCCAGACUCCUACGGGAGGCAGCAGUGGGGGAUAUUGCGCAAUGGGGGAAACCCUGACGCAGCAACGCCGCGUGAAGGAUGAAGGUCUUCGGAUUGUAAACUUCUUUUAUUAAGGACGAAGAAAGUGACGGUACUUAAUGAAUAAGCUCCGGCUAACUACGUGCCAGCAGCCGCGGUAAUACGUAGGGAGCAAGCGUUGUCCGGAUUUACUGGGUGUAAAGGGUGCGUAGGCGGCUUUGCAAGUCAGAUGUGAAAUCUAUGGGCUCAACCCAUAGCCUGCAUUUGAAACUGCAGAGCUUGAGUGAAGUAGAGGCAGGCGGAAUUCCCCAUGUAGCGGUGAAAUGCGUAGAGAUGGGGAGGAACACCAGUGGCGAAGGCGGCCUGCUGGGCUUUAACUGACGCUGAGGCACGAAAGCGUGGGUAGCAAACAGGAUUAGAUACCCUGGUAGUCCACGCUGUAAACGAUGGUUACUAGGUGUGGGGGGUCUGACCCCUUCCGUGCCGGAGUUAACACAAUAAGUAAUCCACCUGGGGAGUACGGCCGCAAGGUUGCAACUCAAAGGAAUGACG